AGAUCAGCCCUGGGGUUCAGAGGGAUCCUGACGGCUACUCCUCAAGAUCCUCUCUGUUGUGAUUCAUCCCCCCCAGGCCCUACAGUUUCUCCUUCCUGACUCUUACAUUUCUUUGGAUGGCAUCACUAUUGCUGGAGUGCAGUGGUGUGAUCUCAGCUCACUGCAACCCCUGCCUCCUGGAUUCAAGCAAUUCUCCUGCCUCAGCCUCCCAAGUAGCUGGGAUUGCAGUUAGUUGCCAAGCACUGUGGAUUCUACCCCUCAGGGUCCAGACACCCAUUUUCCUUCCCACUGUUCCCUCCCCAUGGAGAAGCCUGUGGCUGACUGACAGCUCAACUUGGAGAAGGUGUUACCUGGGCCAGGUGGGGAAGGUAGGGUUGUUUGCAGAGCAAAGAAGUGAAGGAAGUAUUAACCCUUUGCAUGGCCUCCUGAGAAUCUGACAAGACGUAAAUAGCCAAGAAUAUCUGUGGAACUUAAUCAGUGAGUUACAAUAUUUAUCACUGCAAGUGUGUUGUUCAUUGACACUAUAAAGCCAUAUGGAAUUAAGCAGCCUUGAAACACAAAAUGGAGAAAGGCUAAGAGCUGAGAAUUGUUGCCUUCAGGGAAAUAUAAUCAAUGUCAAGCAAACAACCACCCCAAAAUGGUUAGCUUUAUCAGCAUUCAGGCCUACAGUGAAAGCAAAUGUUCCAGAUCUGAGUUUCAAUUUUUAAAGAAUAAACAUAUGCAAAUGACCA
RNAcentral lists this non-coding RNA (731 nucleotides) under Pongo abelii (Sumatran orangutan). The record is from RNAcentral. Lineage: Eukaryota; Metazoa; Chordata; Mammalia; Primates; Hominidae.